GGAAGGAUCAUUACCACCUAUUCAUCCGGGGCUGAGCAAUCAGCACCGGUGAAUUAUCAACCAACCGUGAACCAUAACUGACACAGCAUUCAGUGAAGUGUUGCUUGGGAGCCAAUAUGUGGGUCGAAUGGUGCGCAAGCAUCAUUGGUCAGCUCUUGGCAACAGAAACCUUUCACGAGGUUUCAGCUUCACUGUCUUCUGUUCCGACCUUCGUCGGCCUGCCUCUAUGGCUGGCGUUGGUCCCGUUUCAAUAACCCCAUCUAUUGUAUACUUUGUAUAUCUGAUCUUAACCACAUUGACAUUGUCGAUUUGGUGUAUUCUUAACAAAAUACAACUCUUAGCAAUGGAUAUCUUGGUUCCCUUACCGAUGAAGAACGCAGCGAAAUGCGAUACGUAAUGCGAAUUGCAGAAUUCAGUGAAUCAUCAAAUCUUUGAACGCAACUUGCGCUCUCGGUUAGCCCUGAGAGCACGUUUCUCUGAGUGUCGUUUCCAUCCCUCUCAGUCUCUGGCUGGGGAAUAUGAGAGUGACUCUCACGAGUCUCUCUUUAAAUACGUGGAGUUCGGAUGCGAUUACCAUCGAGAUUGGUAUUCAGUGUCUGAUUAGUGACGUGGGUAAUUGUAGAGUUUUCCUUCGGGACUACUCACAACAAACGCUUGCGUCAAUGCUAAUCUUUCAUUGUAAUACUGCUCGGCUAAGUGGUAAUCACUUUGUCAUCUUGAACGUUGGAAAUUGACUUUCUGCCUUUUCUUUUGUUGUUUACUUGUUUGUCAUCUUUUUGACAAGGAAUACUAACAGCAAUCUAAAAGACACGAAUCUUCUGAUUCGACCUCAGAUGAAGCGAGGCUACCCCCUGAAUUUAAGCAUAUUAUUAAGGGGAGGAGAAGAAACUAACUAGGAUUCCCUCAGUAACGGCGAGUGAAGCGGGAAUAGCUCAAGAUUGUAACCGGUUUCCUUUGGUCUCCGGGUUGUAAUCUUCGGACGCUCAGUCAGCGUGUGAGCCGGGUCUAAGUCUCUUGGAAAAGGGCAUCAGAGAGGGUGACAAUCCCGUCUUUGGUCCGGACUUCGCCGCGUACGACGGGCGCUCUCAGAGUCGAGUUGUUUGGGAUUGCAGCUCUAAUUGGGUGGUAAAUUUCAUCGAAAGCUAAAUAUCGAAGGGAGACCGAUAGCGAACAAGUACCGUGAGGGAAAGAUGAAAGAACUUUGAAAAGAGAGUUAAAAAGUGCUUGAAAUUGCUAAGAGGGAAGCGUUGGAAACCAGUGUCUGCAUUUCAGUUCUUUGGCUUCUGCAUGCUUUGUUUCGGUUUCGCUGUGCGCAAGCCAUCGUCUCCGUCUCUCUGUAUGUCUUUGCUUACUGUGCUGUUUUGCGGUCAGGGUCAGUUGGAUUCGCGGCAGAAAGCCGGUUCGCAGGUAGGCUGUCUCGGCAGCUGUUAUAGCUUUCCGGUCGCUUUUACCGCGGAUUCGACUGAGGUUGUGCAUGGCGCCCCGCUUUGCGGGUUGACUUGGGUUUGCCCGCUGGCUUCUCUUGAUGGGACAGCAAUGCUGUGACGUCUUGCGUGGCUGGUGCUGCUUGUUCUUGUCGAUGCGUAGUGUCGAUCCUGACAAAAUGGUUUUCAGCGACCCGUCUUGAAACACGGACCAAGGAGUCUAACAUACAUGCGAGUAUUUGGGUGGCAAGCCCUGAUGCGCAAUGAAAGUAAGAGGUAGGAAUCCCUUUACCGGGAGGCACUAUCGACCGAUCAUCACUUGUGUUUGAUUUGAGUUGGAGCAUGUCUGUUGGGACCCGAAAGAUGGUGAUCUAUGCCUGAACAGGGUGAAGCCAGGGGAAACCCUGGUGGAGGCUCGUAGCGAUACUGACGUGCAAAUCGUUCGUCUGAUUUGGGUAUAGGGGCGAAAGACUAAUCGAACCAUCUAGUAGCUGGUUCCCUC
RNAcentral lists this unclassified non-coding RNA (1926 nucleotides) under uncultured fungus. RNAcentral describes it as "sequence contains 18S rRNA gene, ITS1, 5.8S rRNA gene, ITS2, 28S rRNA gene". The stretch from base 825 to 1926 matches the Rfam family "Eukaryotic large subunit ribosomal RNA", at positions 1 to 961 of the family's 3401-position model. Lineage: Eukaryota; Fungi. The record is from RNAcentral.